Long non-coding RNA from Chelonia mydas (Green sea turtle), 1194 nucleotides. RefSeq lists it as uncharacterized. The record is from RefSeq and is a predicted model, not a curated record. The transcript has 2 exons. Lineage: Eukaryota; Metazoa; Chordata; Testudines; Cheloniidae.
GCGGCUCGCGGGCGCGCCGGGGCGCUGCGGAGGCCUCUUGCCGGGGGAGCCGGCCCGGGCCCUCCGGCCAGCCCGCGGGACGCUCCGCGCUGAGGGGGGGGCCGGAACCCAGGCGUCCGGGCCCGGCCCCGGUGUGGGGGCUGCCUGCGGGGCGGGGGCUAGACACGGGGCCGCUCACACGGGGCGGCUCACACGCUCUCCAGCUCUAGUGCGGACGGGCCGGUGGCGGCUGGAACCCGUGUUCGCUGGGCGGGGCCAUGCGGCCCAGACCCCCCCCCCCCGCCCGGCACGUGUUAGACGCCUGGGGCCGCGGAGGCUGAUGCCUAGUGUGAGCAAGGCAGGGUGGGGGUGUCGCACGUGCCGGCUGGGCGCGUCUACACUUGGAGCGGCGGGCAGGGGUUGAUCCCCCCCGCUCGUGUGGACUUAGCGCGGUGCGCGAUGUCCCUGCAGGCGUAGCUGUGUAAAGCGGGAAAAGACAAGGAGGACUUGUGGCACCUUACAGACUAACCAGUUCAUCUGAGCAUAAGCUUUCGCGAGCGACAGCUCACUUCCCCGGAUGCGAACUGGGAAUCGCAUCCCCCCCGCCCCCUGCCAAGUGUGGACGUAAGCCGCACGGCGGGCUAACGUGUUACAGCUGUCCUGCGCCUGCGCUGUUUAAAACUUGUUCCCUGUCAUGGCUUUAAUGCACCUGUUUUUUCUAGUGUAUAUACUUAACCUUGGGGUCUGCUACUGACCCACGCUUGCCCAAGGUAAAGGUCGGACCAGCUGUUGUGGCCAUUGCUGCAUUAACCGUUGCAAUGUGUGUCCUGCCAAGGGUAGCCUGUGAUGAGCUUUCAAUUUCUGACACCCCGUAUGAGUAUUGCCCAACCAGUACUUGAUUACACUUCAUGCCCGAGGCUGCACUUUUGUACUUGUAGCUAUCAUUCCUUGUUUGAGAUGUAUUAACUGGUGUGGUUUUUUUUAGGUUGCUGGAUGGUCUGGUCAGCGCAAGUAGAGGAAUGAAAUGGACCAGAAGAGCAGCUCACUUCCAUUGUUGGCAUCAAAAGGACUGUAAAUCUCUAAUUCAAAUGCAGAGGCUGUAAUUUGGAUUUACUUUAAAGCACUUGUGACCUGUUACGCAUUUUGAAUGAAACAUGAAAAGUAUAUUGUAUGAAUGUAAAUGACAUGUAAGUCUUAUUAAACAGAGUGAAACAA